Molecule: ribosomal RNA, 252 nt
Filed under: uncultured bacterium
Lineage: Bacteria
Description: partial 16S ribosomal RNA
Rfam family: Bacterial small subunit ribosomal RNA
Source: RNAcentral
UACGUAGGGAGCGAGCGUUGUCCGGAGUUACUGGGCGUAAAGCGCACGCAGGCGGUCUGUCGCGUUCGUGCCGACAGCGACUCGCCUAACGAGUCGAGGAGUACGGAAACGGGCAGACUUGAGGGCCAGAGAGGGACACGGAACUCCGGGUGGAGUGGUGAAAUGCGUAGAGAUCCGGAAGAACACCAAAGGCGAAGGCAGUGUCCUGGUUGGUACCUGACGCUCAGAGGCGACAGCUAGGGGAGCGAACGG